RNAcentral lists this ribosomal RNA (484 nucleotides) under uncultured bacterium. RNAcentral describes it as "partial 16S ribosomal RNA". It matches the Rfam family "Bacterial small subunit ribosomal RNA", at positions 30 to 507 of the family's 1533-position model. The record is from RNAcentral.
AUUGAACGCUGGCGGCAGGCCUAACACAUGCAAGUCGAGCGGAUGAAGGGAGCUUGCUCCUGGAUUCAGCGGCGGACGGGUGAGUAAUGCCUAGGAAUCUGCCUGGCAGUGGGGGAUAACGUCCGGAAACGGGCGCUAAUACCGCAUACGUCCUGAGGGAGAAAGUGGGGGAUCUUCGGACCUCACGCUAUCAGAUGAGCCUAGGUCGGAUUAGCUAGUUGGUGGGGUAAAGGCCUACCAAGGCGACGAUCCGUAACUGGUCUGAGAGGAUGAUCAGUCACACUGGAACUGAGACACGGUCCAGACUCCUACGGGAGGCAGCAGUGGGGAAUAUUGGACAAUGGGCGAAAGCCUGAUCCAGCCAUGCCGCGUGUGUGAAGAAGGUUUUCGGAUUGUAAAGCACUUUAAGUUGGGAGGAAGGGCAGUAAGUUAAUACCUUGCUGUUUUGACGUUACCAACAGAAUAAGCACCGGCUAACUUCGUG